RNAcentral lists this long non-coding RNA (1104 nucleotides) under Pogona vitticeps (central bearded dragon). RNAcentral's name for it is "lncRNA (ENSPVIG00000020412.1)". Lineage: Eukaryota; Metazoa; Chordata; Lepidosauria; Squamata; Agamidae. The record is from RNAcentral.
AUGUGUGGGAAAGCAGAGUGCUCAUGGGUGGGUGGGGUGCAGGCUCAUGCAUACACGGGUGGGCGGGGCACAGUUAUGGUUGGGGCAUGCUCAUGCACAUGGGUGGGGCCUCCAUGCGCACAUGUGCAGGUGGGCAGGCACCCAUGCGUUUGGGUGGACGCGCACCUGUGUGGGGGAGUGCAUGAGGAGGGCGGGAGAACCAUCUACGUGGCCCAGUCCAUGGCUCGGUAUUCGGCCAUGGACCAGGGGUUGGGGACCCCUGCCCUAGAGGACAGAAACAAAAUUCAAAAUGACCUUGAUAGGAUGGGGUAUUUGGCUGAAUGCAACAGAAUCCAAUUCAACAGGGAUAAGUGCAAAGUGCUGCACCUUGGAAAAAGAAACCAACUGCACAGUUACAAGAUGGGGAAUACCUGGCUCAGCAAAACUAGGAGUGAGAAGGAUCUUGGAAUUGUCAUAGAUCAGAAGCUAAAUAUGAGCCAACAGUGUGAUGUGGUUACAAAAAAGACUAAUGCUAUUUUAGGCUGGAUUAAUUGUAUAGUUUCCAAAUCCUGUGAGGUGCUAGUCCCCCUCUAUUCAGAACUGGUUAGGCCCCAUCUUGAGUAUUAUGUCUUGUUCUGGACACCACACUUCAAGAAGGAUGCUAACAAAUUGGAACAAGUUCAGAGGAGGGUGACAAGGAUGAUCAGGGGGCUGGAAACCAAACCUUAUGAGGAAAGGACGAAAGAACUGGGCAUGUUUAGCCUUGAGAAAAGAAGACUGAGGGGUGAUAUGAUAGCACUUUUCAAAUAUGUGAAAAGACUGUCAUACAGUGGAGGGGCAAGAUCUGUUCUUGAUCAUCCCAGAGUGCAGGAUACGCAAAAUUGGCUCAAGUUACAGGAAGUCAGAUUUCUGUUGAAUAUCAGGAACAACCUCCUAACUGUUAGAGCAGUAGGGCAAUGGAACCAUUUUGGAAUUACUUUGAGAGAUGAUGAGUGUUCCAGCACUGGAGGUAUUCAAGAGAAGUUUGGACAACUUCUUGACAGAUAUCCUUUGAUUUGUAUUCAUGCAUUGAACAGGGGGUUGGACUUGAUGGCCUUCCGACUUCAUUAUUCUAUGAUUCUAUGA